GCGGAAGUGGUGGAAUGGCAGACACGCUAGCUUCAGGAGCUAGUGGGGGCAACCCUAUGAGAGUUCAAGUCUCUCCUUCCGCA
RNAcentral lists this transfer RNA (83 nucleotides) under Candidatus Omnitrophota bacterium. Its description in RNAcentral is "Candidatus Omnitrophica bacterium tRNA-Leu". It matches the Rfam family "tRNA". From Rfam's summary of the family: Transfer RNA (tRNA) molecules are approximately 80 nucleotides in length. Their secondary structure includes four short double-helical elements and three loops (D, anti-codon, and T loops). Further hydrogen bonds mediate the characteristic L-shaped molecular structure. tRNAs have two regions of fundamental functional importance: the anti-codon, which is responsible for specific mRNA codon recognition, and the 3' end, to which the tRNAs corresponding amino acid is attached (by aminoacyl-tRNA synthetases). tRNAs cope with the degeneracy of the genetic code in two manners: having more than one tRNA (with a specific anti-codon) for a particular amino acid; and 'wobble' base-pairing, i.e. permitting non-standard base-pairing at the 3rd anti-codon position. Lineage: Bacteria; Pseudomonadati; Candidatus Omnitrophota. The record is from RNAcentral.